This 326-nucleotide ribosomal RNA is filed under the name uncultured eukaryote. Its description in RNAcentral is "partial 18S ribosomal RNA". It matches the Rfam family "Eukaryotic small subunit ribosomal RNA", at positions 1470 to 1796 of the family's 1831-position model. The record is from RNAcentral.
CCCUUAGAUGUUCUGGGCCGCACACGCGCUACACUGAAGGAGGCAGCGUGUACUCCUGGAUCGAAAGAUUUGGGUAACCCGCGAAUCUCCUUCGUGCUAGGGAUUGAGGUUUGCAAUUAUCCUUCAUGAACGAGGAAUUCCCAGUAAGUGCAAGUCAUAAGCUUGCGCUGACUACGUCCCUGCCCUUUGUACACACCGCCCGUCGCUACUACCGAUUGAAUGGUCCGGUGAAUCUUUAGGACUGUGGCUGAGGCCUUGCCUUGUGCGGGUCUGGCCGUGGGAAUUUAGUUAAACCUUACCAUUUAGAGGAAGGUGAAGUCGUAACA